UUACUUCUUCUAUUCUAGAUAGCGUGUC
Molecule: small RNA, 28 nt
Filed under: Bombyx mori (domestic silkworm)
Lineage: Eukaryota; Metazoa; Arthropoda; Insecta; Lepidoptera; Bombycidae
Description: ovarian small RNA-36668
Source: RNAcentral